GGGUCCACCUCCCACCCGUGUUUAUUUUACCUUGUUGCUUCGGCGGGCCCGCCUUAACUGGCCGCCGGGGGGCUUACGCCCCCGGGCCCGCGCCCGCCGAAGACACCCUCGAACUCUGUCUGAAGAUUGUAGUCUGAGUGAAAAUAUAAAUUAUUUAAAACUUUCAACAACGGAUCUCUUGGUUCCGGCAUCGAUGAAGAACGCAGCGAAAUGCGAUACGUAAUGUGAAUUGCAAAUUCAGUGAAUCAUCGAGUCUUUGAACGCACAUUGCGCCCCCUGGUAUUCCGGGGGGCAUGCCUGUCCGAGCGUCAUUUCUGCCCUCAAGCACGGCUUGUGUGUUGGGCCCCGUCCUCCGAUCCCGGGGGACGGGCCCGAAAGGCAGCGGCGGCACCGCGUCCGGUCCUCGAGCGUAUGGGGCUUUGUCACCCGCUCUGUAGGCCCGGCCGGCGCUUGCCGAUCAACCCAAAUUUUUAUCCAGGUUGACCUCGGAUCAGGUAGGGAUACCCGCUGAACUUAAGCAUAUCAAUAAGANCGGAGGUACGAGUGAGGGCCCUCUGGGUCAACCUCCACGUGUUUAUUUUACCUUGUUGCUUCGGCGGGCC
Molecule: ribosomal RNA, 602 nt
Filed under: Penicillium chrysogenum
Lineage: Eukaryota; Fungi; Ascomycota; Eurotiomycetes; Eurotiales; Aspergillaceae
Description: eukaryotic LSU rRNA
Rfam family: 5.8S ribosomal RNA (bases 159-311)
Source: RNAcentral